This 72-nucleotide transfer RNA is filed under the name Danionella translucida. It matches the Rfam family "tRNA". From Rfam's summary of the family: Transfer RNA (tRNA) molecules are approximately 80 nucleotides in length. Their secondary structure includes four short double-helical elements and three loops (D, anti-codon, and T loops). RNAcentral also lists the same sequence under 1 other name. The record is from Rfam by way of RNAcentral. Lineage: Eukaryota; Metazoa; Chordata; Actinopteri; Cypriniformes; Danionidae.
GGUUCUAUGGUGUAAUGGUUAGCACUCUGGACUCUGAAUCCAGCGAUCCGAGCUAAAAUCUCGGUAGGACCU